CAGAGUAUAGCUCAGUGGUAGAGCCCAUGCUUAGCAUACACAAGGUCCUGGGUUCAAUCCCCAGUACCUGC
This 71-nucleotide transfer RNA is filed under the name Camelus bactrianus (Bactrian camel). It matches the Rfam family "tRNA". Rfam says of the family: Transfer RNA (tRNA) molecules are approximately 80 nucleotides in length. Their secondary structure includes four short double-helical elements and three loops (D, anti-codon, and T loops). Further hydrogen bonds mediate the characteristic L-shaped molecular structure. tRNAs have two regions of fundamental functional importance: the anti-codon, which is responsible for specific mRNA codon recognition, and the 3' end, to which the tRNAs corresponding amino acid is attached (by aminoacyl-tRNA synthetases). tRNAs cope with the degeneracy of the genetic code in two manners: having more than one tRNA (with a specific anti-codon) for a particular amino acid; and 'wobble' base-pairing, i.e. permitting non-standard base-pairing at the 3rd anti-codon position. Lineage: Eukaryota; Metazoa; Chordata; Mammalia; Artiodactyla; Camelidae. RNAcentral also lists the same sequence under 1 other name. The record is from Rfam by way of RNAcentral.